This 461-nucleotide ribosomal RNA is filed under the name uncultured bacterium. RNAcentral describes it as "partial 16S ribosomal RNA". It matches the Rfam family "Bacterial small subunit ribosomal RNA", at positions 338 to 795 of the family's 1533-position model. The record is from RNAcentral.
CCUACGGGUGGCAGCAGUGAGGAAUAUUGGUCAAUGGGCGCGAGCCUGAACCAGCCAAGUCGCGUGAGGGAGGACGGCCCUACGGGUUGUAAACCUCUUUUGCCGGGGAGCAACGGGCGUCACGUGUGGCGCCACUGAGAGUACCCGGAGAAAAAGCAUCGGCUAACUCCGUGCCAGCAGCCGCGGUAAUACGGAGGAUGCGAGCGUUAUCCGGAUUUAUUGGGUUUAAAGGGAGCGUAGAUGGGUUGUUAAGUCAGUUGUGAAAGUUUGCGGCUCAACCGUAAAAUUGCAAUUGAUACUGGCAGUCUUGAGUACAGUUGAGGUAGGCGGAAUUCGUGGUGUAGCGGUGAAAUGCUUAGAUAUCACGAAGAACUCCGAUUGCGAAGGCAGCUUACUAAACUGCCACUGACAUUGAUGCUCGAAAGUGUGGGUAUCAAACAGGAUUAGAUACCCCAGUAGUC